Molecule: ribosomal RNA, 445 nt
Filed under: uncultured bacterium
Lineage: Bacteria
Description: partial 16S ribosomal RNA
Rfam family: Bacterial small subunit ribosomal RNA
Source: RNAcentral
GUGAGGAAUAUUGGUCAAUGGGCGGGAGCCUGAACCAGCCAAGUCGCGUGAAGGAAGAAGGAUCUAUGGUUCGUAAACUUCUUUUGCAGGGGAAUAAAGUGCAGGACGUGUCCUGUUUUGUAUGUACCCUGAGAAUAAGGAUCGGCUAACUCCGUGCCAGCAGCCGCGGUAAUACGGAGGAUCCGAGCGUUAUCCGGAUUUAUUGUGUUUAAAGGGUGCGUAGGUGGUUUGAUAAGUCAGCGGUGAAAGUUUGCAGCUUAACUGUAAAAAUGCCGUUGAAACUGUCGGACUUGAGUGUAAAUGAGGUAGGAGGAAUGCGUGGUGUAGCGGUGAAAUGCAUAGAUAUCACGCAGAACUCCGAUUGCGAAGGCAGCUUACUAAGCUACAACUGACACUGAAGCACGAAAGCGUGGGGAUCAAACAGGAUUAGAAACCCGAGUAGUCC